CAGCAGUUAGUCACGGCUCCUCCCUGCUCAGAGCUAGCGUGCUUUUCUUUUAAGGCCUUGGUCUGCAUGGAGAGAGAAACAGGAGAUGUAAUCGGUUGAGCAGGAAGAUUUGCUGUAUUAUUGUGUUGAAGAAUAUCCUGGCUGUUUUUUUUUUUACAUAGUUGCAGAAUCUGCUGUUACAGCUGAGCGGUUCAUUGUAUGGACUGGACUAGACUCCACCAGAGAUGUUGAUGCAGAAUGUUCCCAAUGUGAAUGCCAUCCGGUUCCCUGGAGGGUGACGCUGUUCUUCUGGAGUUUCCGUAGACAAGUGUCUCUGAUGUGCGCACGGCCAUCAGACGAAAAUGUAACAAUGAGCAGUUCAGCCAAAAAAA
This is a long non-coding RNA of Cyprinodon tularosa, 371 nucleotides long. RefSeq lists it as uncharacterized. NCBI's taxonomy places the organism in Eukaryota, Metazoa, Chordata, Actinopteri, Cyprinodontiformes, Cyprinodontidae. The record is from RefSeq and is a predicted model, not a curated record. The transcript has 4 exons.